Molecule: long non-coding RNA, 4835 nt
Filed under: Nicotiana tabacum (common tobacco)
Lineage: Eukaryota; Viridiplantae; Streptophyta; Magnoliopsida; Solanales; Solanaceae
Description: long non-coding RNA (NTAB_LNC017455)
Source: RNAcentral
UUUAAGUAAGAAUUCACUUGCAAUGCCAAUAAAAUAGUGACGAAAAGGAAGUUAAAAUAUUUAGAUUUUACCUUUAGUUUUAUCAUUGAAGAUCUAUUCUUCUCCACUUUGCAAAAGUAAAAUUGUUGAAGCUCAUAAAUCAUAAUCAAAAUCCUUGAGGUCUAUUUUAUUCCCAAAUAUUUCAUGAGAGUGAUUAUCUUCUUGGAUUUGCUUAAUUAGUUAAAUUUAUUUGUUAUUUAUGAAUGUGUUUUUCUAGAAUUUUGAUGAUGUACGAAGUUUGAGUGCUAACACUAUAAGAAAUCAGAUUUAGCGGCGACUUAAUUUAUUGCAACAAAAGCUAGACUUUUUGCGGCGAUUAUAAUUAUCGCUACAGAAGGUAAGCUUUUAAUGGCGACUUUUCAAAGGUCGCUCCUAAUACGUUUAGCUAAACACUGAAUUUUUCUUUCCCGCUAAGACCGAAAAUUUUGCUUAAGAGUUUUGUAGCGACUUUUAUAAAGUUGCCGUUGAAGGUCUUUUGUGGCGACUCAGUCGCCUCUAACACUACUAAAGGUUUUUAUAAGAAAAAUCACUCUUAUUAAAUGAAAAAAGAAGCACACACUGAUGUAGGUCUUCUUCUCCUUACUCGUCUCUCUAUAGAAAAUUUUCCCAUUCAAUUUCCUCUCUGCUCAAAUCUCUCGAUUUUAACUGCUCAAAUCACAAAUUGUGAUCCAUUUGAUAGCAAAACAAAAUCCCUAAUCAAAAAUCUUGACUCCAUCAGGUACGUGCUCCAAUCUCAAGCUCAAAUCCCUUUUCAGUGGUAUAUACAGUUAGCGAGAAUGAUAAUAUCAAUGAUUUUGCAUAUUUCAUCUAUAAUUUCUCUGACCCAGUUGAAAAUCUAUAGGAAUAAAAGGAAAUUCAUACAGUAAUAGUCCGUGGUGAGGAGUCGGAUGUUCCGGCUUUUCAGUCCGACGCUAAACUUCUCUCGGCCUCCGAAAAAAUUGAGUAGUAAACUAUUUUUUAAUUCGCGGUCUUGACAGCUUCGAGUCUCUCGCUAUCUCUUUCUCUAGCAAAAUCGAGUAGUAAUUUUGUGUUAAUUAUAAGAGUUUGGUUCUUUUCUUGGUAGCAGAAGUACGAACUUUCAUAGUUUUUGGGUAUUUAUUUGUUUUUUAUUUGUGGGUUAUUCCUGGAAACAGCCUCUACCUCCAUUGGGUAGAGGUAAGGUCUGCGUACAUAUUACUCUCCCCAGACCCCACUUGCGGGAUUACACUGGGUUGUUGUUGUUGUUUAUUUGUGGAUUAUUGUUGUUUUGUUGUUGUAGUUUAUUUUGUUAGUAGAGAAAGGCAUUGGGGGUACUUGUAUUAGCGGAAAAAGGAGGAUUGAUUGAGAGAAUAUAUCAAUUUGGUAAUUUUGUUCUUGACAUGAAGGAUAAAUGUGGUGUUGGAGGUGUCGAGGUUAUGUUUUUAGAAGAUAGAAUUACUGAAGAUUAGCCUAUCUCCCCAUGGACCUUUACUGUUGCUAGGUAAUCCAAACUAUUUGUUGGCUAAUUCUUCAAUUUUGUAGCUUUUGCUUAACAUUGCUAUAGAUUGUGUUAACUUUUCCUGCUAUACCCCAAAAGAAUAUUAUAGUGCUCCAUGUUUAAUCGUGCAAUUCUUAGUUAUUUGUAAACUGAAAUAAUGGGAUCUAAUGUGUAGUUGGAAAUAGUGUUAUUAUCUUCUUUUUCUUUAGAUUAAGUUCUAUUCAGUUAGUUUCCUGCUCCGGAAGAAACUAUUUAGUUAUUACCGAUUUCUGCACCUAGAUUUAUUAAUUAAUGUGUGUUUGGUUUUGAAAAUAAUUAAUAUAGUUUAUGUAAAGUUGUCAACUAUACGAUGAUUAGUCCUUCUUGGCAGUCAUCUUUAUAGAGUUAUGUGGAUAUAGCUUGUUCUGGGAUUCACACUACAACAAAGGACUUGCCUUCACUGUGGUGGAGAGAGAUGCUAUCACACGGCCUUCUACCUUAUGUUGUUUCAAGCCAAGAACUUCAGGUCAUUUGAUAAUUUGUUGACUUAUAACCGCGAGUUCGUUUUUCCAUCUCCACUCAUAAUUAGAUUGGUAAUAUUUUUUCAUCAAAUAUCAGGAGAAGACAUUAAUGCACAAUCUUGUCCAAUAUUGAGUUUUCCCGCAAAGAUACAUGGCUAUGAUGAUUCUUUAGUAGUCUUACCUCUCACAAUGGCAGUAGAAAUUUCACAUCAGGUUCAUUAUAUGAACUUAAAUGGAGGUGGUAGGAGGUUAGAUGGCAUCCUCAUGUAAAGAGAGGAUCAUGUCUAAAUUCUGGACAGGUUCACCACUUAACUUGUCUUCACUAAUCGUGUCUUCAUGUUGUUCUCUUGCGCGGUCAAUGGGAUGACCCAAAAGGUCAUUACUUAUUUUUAAAAUAAAUUCUGCAUUCCGAGGCCUUAAAGACCUCUUUUAGCAUCACCUCGAUUUGCGUGCACAGUUCGGGCGCAUCGCGGAAAAGCCUAUAUGUGAAAAUCUAUCAAAAAUGAUAAAUUUUGAUUAUAAAAUGAAUUAAUUUGACUUCGGUCAACGUUUUGGGUAAACGGACACGGACCUGUGAUUUGACGGUCCCGGAGGGUCCGUAGGAAAAUAUGGGACUUGGGCGUAUGCCCGAAAUCGAAUUCCGAGGUCCCAAACCCGAGAAAUGAAUUUUUGAAAGAAAUUGUUUUCUGUAAAAUAUAAAGGUUUUUGAAAGUGAAAUGUUAUGUGAAACCUGCGGUAUCGGGCCCGUAUUAUGGUUCCGGAGCCGGGUACAAGUUCAAUAUGAUUUAUAUAUGUUGACGGUAAAGUUUGGUAAGAAACGAAAUCCAUUCGACGUGAUUCAGAUCGUAAAUGCAAAAUUUGAUGUUUAAAGAAGUUUUGAGAAAUUUCAUUGAUCUUGAGGUUUAAUUCAAUGUUCAUGAUGUUAUUGUGGUGAUUUGAUUACACGAAUAAGUUCGUAGUAUGUUUUUGAGGUUGUGCGUAUGUUUGGUUUGGAGCCCCGAUGGCUCGGGUGAGUUUUGGAUAGGCCACGGGGUGCAUAUUGGACUUAGAAAAUUGCAGAUUUCUCAGCUGGUGUAUUAGGUCUGCAGGCUUCGCAAAUGCGAGCUUGCAAAUGCAAAACCUCCAUCGCAAAUGCGAAACAAGGACCUGGGCAGGCCUGAUCGCAAAUGCGACCAUUUGGCUCGCAAAUGCGGAAGUCCCAGUCGCAAAUGCGACGCCUGCUUCGCAAAUGCAAAGUUCUCCUUUGGUGCCUGAGGUCGCAAAUGCGAGCCUCCCUACGCAAUUCCCAAGCUAACAGAGGUCGGUGUUCGCAAUUGCGAACCCAUGUUCGCAUUUCCCACAUCUGCAACCUGCAACUUUUAUACUUAGGCGAAUUUUAAUCUAUUUUCACAUCUUUUAAAAAACAUCGCAAAUGUGACUUUUCAAGAGCAACUCUUCUUCCAAAUCGAUUGUAAGUUAAUUUUAACACAUGUCCUUCAAUCAUUAACCUCUUUUAACAUGAUUUCAACUCAAAAUCAAUGAUUUUCAUGGGGAAAUUGGGUGUUUUGGGUAGAACCUAGUUUUUUCAAAAAUUGGGGAUUUGGACCUCGAUUUGAGGUCCGAUUUCAAAACAAAUUAUAUAUUUGGAUUCGUAGGGUAAAGGGUAAUCGAGUUUUGGUUCGAACCUCAGGUUUUGACCAUGUGGGCCCGGGGGCGACUUUUAACUUUUUGGGUGAAACUUUGGGAAAUUCAUUUUCAUGUAUUCAAAUUAAUUCAUUUAGCAUUUAUUGAUGUAAUUAAGUAACUUGUGACUAGAUACGAGCGAAUUGGUGGUUGAAUCAAGGGGUAAAACUAUAAUUGAAUUGUGAAAGCUAUAAUUGAAUUGUGAAUUGUGUUCGUGGCAUCGAGGUAAGUGUUUGGUCUAACCUUAGCUUGAGGGAUUAGGAGUCGAGUCUUAUUUGCUAUGUGUAAGGGUGAUGCCGUGCAUUAUUUUUGUGAGGAAAGAGUGUAAAGCACGAAGGGUGAUACCGUGUAUGAUUGUGAGAAAAGAGUGUAAAGCACGAAGGGUGAUGCUGUGCACAUUUUUAUUAUAUGAUUGCUUUGGUGAGGACGAGAGUAAAAGCACGAAAGGUGAUGCUGUGCACAUUUUUAUUAUAUGAUUGCUUUGGUGAGGACGGGAGUAAAAGCACGAAGGGUGAUGCCGUGCAUUUAUUAAUUUCUAAUUCUUUGUUGAUACCCGAGUUAUAUUGUUUAUUUCGUUUACUUGAUGUUUUUCUAUUUGGAAUUGAUAUCUCCCCCGCAGCAUGCUCCCCCUCCCAUACUUGACUGUUUAUUUCUGUAGUUCUUUUCCGCCAUAUAUAUUGAAUUGCACAGGUAGUCUGGUCCUAGCCUCGUCACUACUUCGCCGAUGUUAGGCUAGGCAUUUACCAGCACAUGGGGUCGGUUGUGCUGAUACUACACUCUGCACUAUGUGCAGAUCCCGGAGUAGCUCUUGGACCGUAGUUUGGAGGCUACCUUCAGUCCACGCGGAGAUCCAAGGUAGACCUACAGGCGUCCGCAGGCCCUGACGUCUCCUUCUAUCCCUUAUUCCCUGUUUAUUUCCUUACUUCAGAAACAAUGUACUGUUAUUUCUUCAGACUUUGUAUGUAGCAGUCUUAGACCGUCUGUGACACUGUGACACCAGGUUUUGGGUGAUUAAGACUUAAGUAGUUGUAAUAAAUGCAGAUUUCAGAUAUUUCAUUAUUUUCUUCCGCUUAAAUUUAAACUUCCGUUAUUUAUGCGUUAUCGCUUUAUGUUUGUUAAAGAGAAAUACAAUUGGUAAAAAGGUAAUUGUUUGAUAAUUGGCUUGCCUAGCUCCCAUU